RNAcentral lists this long non-coding RNA (509 nucleotides) under Lactuca sativa (garden lettuce). RNAcentral describes it as "long non-coding RNA (LSAT_LNC004937)". Lineage: Eukaryota; Viridiplantae; Streptophyta; Magnoliopsida; Asterales; Asteraceae. The record is from RNAcentral.
UUCUGUGCCUAAAUAUAGAAAAAAAAUUUACAGCUUUUAAUAGAAUGAAUCAUUUUUAAAACAGAGGAAAAUGUACAUGUACGUGUGUGUGUGUGUCUUACACGUGAAUAUAUGCAUAACACGUCUUUGGUGUUUUCAAUAUCAGAUUGAAGAAGAAACCGAUCGAUUUAUGGGCCUCUUGAAACCUUCAUUUGGUCAAGUGUUGAAGUAGCCACAAGGGGUAGAAAUGGAAAUUGAAGGAGUCCAUCACAGCGGCCUUUGUAACCUCAUCGCCUUCAUCUUGGAUAUAUAUUAUAUAUAUUAUUUAAUGUUUUAAAAAACAAUAUUUUAAUUUUAUCUUUUUUUUUAAAGUGAACCUGUUUGAUUUCAGGAGGAGCAGGGAUUUCAGGGGCUAAUAAGUCUUCACGCUCUUCAGGAUCAUUACCAACUGCUUCAUCAUCAUCUGUGAAAAUUUCCUCAUGCUCCCACUCAUCACCUGAAAUCUCACAUAUAAUUACAAAUAAACAAAC